This 83-nucleotide transfer RNA is filed under the name bacterium. Its description in RNAcentral is "tRNA-Leu". It matches the Rfam family "tRNA". From Rfam's summary of the family: Transfer RNA (tRNA) molecules are approximately 80 nucleotides in length. The record is from RNAcentral.
GCCGGAGUGGCGAAAUGGUAGACGCGCCAGGCUUAGGACCUGGUGGGCGCAAGCCCGUAGAGGUUCGAGUCCUCUCUCCGGCA